Drosophila gunungcola (fruit fly) is the source of this 1185-nucleotide long non-coding RNA. RefSeq lists it as uncharacterized. The transcript is spliced from 2 exons. Lineage: Eukaryota; Metazoa; Arthropoda; Insecta; Diptera; Drosophilidae. The record is from RefSeq and is a predicted model, not a curated record.
UUUAAUUAAAGCCUGCAAAACAACACUUUUGUGUCAGAAUUUCUUUGUCAAAUUGUGGUUUCCGUUCAAUCAAGUCGUAUAAGCAAUCAGUCUUUAAGUUUAAAAAGGGUCAUCGAAAUUCGUCGAUGCUUAGGCUUAAUUCACAGUGGGUUCUUGCGAAAUAGUUGCAAGUAUUUUGUUUAUUUAUUUUUAACAUGGCUGCGGCAGCUGCUAUUGUUGCCGUUCCAUCCGCCUGUCGAUUUGUUUCGCUCGUUUCGGUUCUAAGUUUGCGUGUUGCAUUUUUUUGUAGUUGUUGCUGGUUAUUCCAGGGUGAUUUUGCAUUUUGUUGUUGUUUCGGCUGCCUCCAAUCCCAGCAGCGUUUCAAGGUCUUUUCACUAUUUGUUUUUGCCAAGUUUCGCACACAUCCCAUAUAGUAUAUAGUAUAUGGACGGCUGGAAUAUGGCCGGGGUGUUAGUUUUCUGCCCGAUCUCUCUGGUCUCGGGUAAGAGCGAGAAGUUUUGCUUUGGGAAAAUUUCUUCGCGGGCGCGCUCGUGUGGCAGUUUUUGCUCUUUUCCACUUGACUGACAAUUUGAUUGGCAGUUUGCCUUUGUAUUUGCUAUUGUUGUUGCAGUUGCUGGCAGCGCUCUAUUCUAUCGUCUCCCUCCGGCAAUUAUAUUUAAUUUUAUUAUUGAAGAUUGCAGCAAGAUUUUCGCCCCCAAGGUCAGACGUGUAAAUCUUCUGCUGCUGCUGCUGCUGCUGCUGCUGCUGCUGCUGCUGUGGUCACCGUAUUGCAGUCUUAUGCGUGUCGUUAGCUCUACGAUUCUGCAGCAGCAGCAGAAACAUCAUCAUCAUCGAUGUCGGUCUACUCGCGGCUUGCCUGUGGAAUAUCAUCGGAAUACAAAGCUCAAGGUUACGCAUACGCCAUGUAUGCGGGCCAUACGAUGCGAUUCCAAACGACGCGAGCGCAAUGUCUAAGCAAAUAGACGACAAACAAGCGCGGCAACGCAAACACGGACACUUGUGCGGUCCGUAGAUAGAAUUUUAAGCGCACAUGUCUCUUGGUAUAUGGUGGAUUUCUAGGGUUAACGGCGGUUGCAGCAGAUGCCUUUUAGUGCACACAAAGUGUCAAAGAAGCCAUCGAUCGACAGUUUUCGCAAGCAGCUGCCAAAAACAUAUUGAGCUUAUGUGUGACCUUUCCUACAAAAA